GUAGUCUCGCACAGAUGCAUAUCAAUAAGCGGAGGAAAAGAAACUAACAAGGAUUCCCUCAGUAACGGCGAGUGAAGCGGGAAGAGCUCAAAUUUGAAAUCUUGAAAGGUCACCUUUCACGAAUUGUAGUUUAAAGAAGUGUUUUCUGUUACGAUCGUAAUAUAAGUUCUUUGGAAUAGGACAUCACAGAGGGUGAGAAUCCCGUCUAUGAUUGCGAUUUGUAGCUUUGUGAUUACACUUUCAAAGAGUCGGGUUGUUUGGGAAUGCAGCCCAAAACGGGAGGUAAAUUUCUUCUAAGGCUAAAUAUUGGCGAGAGACCGAUAGCGAACAAGUACCGUGAGGGAAAGAUGAAAAGAACUUUGAAAAGAGAGUUAAAUAGUACGUGAAAUUGUCAAAAGGGAAGCGUUUAACACCAGUGUUGUUUUCUGAAAAUCAACCUCUGUUAGCUUUAUGCAUGUUUGUUUAGACCUAAUCAGCUAUCUUGCAUGUUCUAUUGUUUGCAGUGGUGCACUUUUCAGUUUACAGGUCAACAUCAGUUUUUUUUACCGUAAAAAAGUUAAAGAAAGGUAGCUCAUGGCUCCGGUCGUGAGUGUUAUAGUCUUUUUCCUAUGCGGUAGGAGAGACUGAGGUCUGCAGUGUAGGCUAUUUGGCUAGAUACUCAGGUGCUAUGUGAUACCAUUUCAUAAACAACUUGUUGAUUAUGUUUUGUCUAUUGCAUACUCGCUUGUACUAUCAUACCUACGCUUAGGAUGUUGAGUCGUAGAGCACGCAG
This 772-nucleotide ribosomal RNA is filed under the name uncultured Neocallimastigales. Its description in RNAcentral is "partial large subunit ribosomal RNA". It matches the Rfam family "Eukaryotic large subunit ribosomal RNA", at positions 24 to 628 of the family's 3401-position model. Lineage: Eukaryota; Fungi; Neocallimastigomycota; Neocallimastigomycetes; Neocallimastigales. The record is from RNAcentral.